This 29-nucleotide non-coding RNA is filed under the name Mus musculus (house mouse). Lineage: Eukaryota; Metazoa; Chordata; Mammalia; Rodentia; Muridae. The record is from RNAcentral.
UAGGACAAAAACCUUAAUAAUUGUGCCUA